Molecule: ribosomal RNA, 493 nt
Filed under: uncultured bacterium
Lineage: Bacteria
Description: bacterial SSU rRNA
Rfam family: Bacterial small subunit ribosomal RNA
Source: RNAcentral
GAUGAACGCUAGCGGGAGGCCUAAUACAUGCAAGUCGAGCGGUAGAAUGACUUCGGUUGUUUGAGAGCGGCGAACGGGUGAGUAACGCGUACACAAUCUACCUUUAAGAGGGGAAUAGCCCUGGGAAACUGGGAUUAAUGCCCCAUGGCAUCACGGGAUGGCAUCGUUUUGUGAUUAAAGCUGAGGUGCUUAAAGAUGAGUGUGCGUCUGAUUAGCUAGUUGGUACGGUAACGGCGUACCAAGGCGACGAUCAGUAGGGGGCGUGAGAGCGUGGACCCCCCANACGGGUACUGAGACACGGACCCGACUCCUACGGGAGGCAGCAGUAAGGAAUAUUGGUCAAUGGAGGAAACUCUGAACCAGCCAUCCCGCGUGCAGGAAGAAUGCCCUAUGGGUUGUAAACCGCUGUCAGAGGGAUGAAUCGUCGGGGUACUCCCCCGAUGUUGACAGAGCCUACAAAGGAAGCGACGGGCUAAGUACGUGCCAGCAGCCG